This 443-nucleotide ribosomal RNA is filed under the name Lachnospiraceae bacterium oral taxon 419. RNAcentral's name for it is "bacterial SSU rRNA". It matches the Rfam family "Bacterial small subunit ribosomal RNA", at positions 28 to 454 of the family's 1533-position model. Lineage: Bacteria; Bacillati; Bacillota; Clostridia; Lachnospirales; Lachnospiraceae. The record is from RNAcentral.
GAUGAACGCUGGCGGCGUGCUUAACACAUGCAAGUCGAACGAGAAGUGAAGACGGAAACCUUCGGGCGGAAGACUUUAUUUCGAGUGGCGGACGGGUGAGUAACGCGUGGGUAACCUGCCUCAUACAGGGGGAUAACAGUUGGAAACGACUGUUAAUACCGCAUAAGACCACAGCACCGCAUGGUGCGGGGGUAAAAACUCCGGUGGUAUGAGAUGGACCCGCGUUCGAUUAGCCAGUUGGCGGGGUAACGGCCCACCAAAGCGACGAUCGAUAGCCGAUCUGAGAGGAUGACCGGCCACAUUGGGACUGAGACACGGCCCAAACUCCUACGGGAGGCAGCAGUGGGGAAUAUUGCACAACGGGGGAAACCCUGAUGCAGCGACGCCGCGUGAGUGAAGAAGUAUUUCGGUAUGUAAAGCUCUAUCAGCAGGGAAGAAAAUGA